This 254-nucleotide ribosomal RNA is filed under the name uncultured bacterium. RNAcentral describes it as "partial 16S ribosomal RNA". It matches the Rfam family "Bacterial small subunit ribosomal RNA", at positions 524 to 776 of the family's 1533-position model. The record is from RNAcentral.
UACGAAGGGGGCUAGCGUUGUUCGGAAUUAUUGGGCGUAAAGGGCUCGUAGGCGGACCGGUGUGUCUGGCGUGAAAUCUCCACUGCUUAACAGGGAGGGGCCGCUGGAAACUGCCGAUCUUGAGUAUGGUAGAGGACCAUGGAAUUCCGGGUGUAGCGGUGGAAUGCGUAGAUAUCCGGAAGAACACCGGUGGCGAAGGCGGUGGUCUGGACCAAAACUGACGCUGAGGAGCGAAAGCCAGGGGAGCAAACGGG